Molecule: ribosomal RNA, 235 nt
Filed under: uncultured bacterium
Lineage: Bacteria
Description: partial 16S ribosomal RNA
Rfam family: Bacterial small subunit ribosomal RNA
Source: RNAcentral
CGGACGGGUGAGUAACGCGUGGGUAACCUACCCUGUACACACAGAUAACAUACCGAAAGGUAUGCUAAUACGGGAUAAUAUAUUUGAGAGGCAUCUCUUGAAUAUCAAAGGUGAGCCAGUACAGGAUGAACCCGCGUCUGAUUAGCUAGUUGGUAAGGUAACGGCUUACCAAGGCGACGAUCAGUAGCCGACCUGAGAGGGUGAUCGGCCACAUUGGAACUGAGACACGGUCCAA